ACACUGUAUCCCUCCUGUUACAAAAUUCAAGGGGAGUUAACUUGAAAUUAUUGGAAACUUGGAGUAGCUCAUGGGGAGUGUUGAGAAUUAAUCAAAAUCAUGUGUAGGUGAGGUGAGUCGAACCGGAGACUCUAUAUGUGGACUGUUUAUUGGCUAGGGCCUAGGGUUCUGUUCACUAUAAAUUAACGGCAAAGCCGUAACUCUCAUUUUUCUUCCGUCUCAUUUCCUCCGCAGUUUUGCUAGGGUUUUGGAAGAGAAGAGAGGCAAAAGAAUUCCAAACUCAUCACCAUGAGGGCCAAGGUAACUCCUCUAUCUCCGAUAUCUAAAUUUAUCAUUUUUGAAUUGAUUUUAGUUCAUAUUUUGAAUUUACCAUUUUCCAUAAAUGGAUAACGAAAUUGAUUGUUUGAAAUUGAAUAUGAUUUUGCAGUGGAAGAAGAAGAGAAUGAGGAGGUUGAAGAGGAAGCGCCGAAAGAUGAGGCAGAGAUCCAAGUAAUUUAUCUGUUAGUCAUCGAUACCCCUCCUGCAGGCUCUCAGUACUGUUCUAGCCUUUAGGCUCUGUUUCAGUUUUCUGUAUUUUUUUUGCUUAUCGCAAGUACUUUUUCUUCGAUUCCGGAAUUCAUGCACCUCAUUUUUCUGGAAAUAUGUUCUCUUUUUUUCUUACUAUUUGUUGGUAAAUUAGAUCUGGUUAUGCUGAUAUGCUGUUUAGAAUGGGACAGUUACAUUUAAACUGUGUUAAUAAUUUCCUAGAUUGAAUACCUUUUCCAUUAAAACACAGAAAAUUUAGUGUUAGGGGGAUGAAAUUUAGCUGUCAUUGCUAGGGAUGUAAAUUUUCAGGCACAAAAUUAUUUAGGCAUAGAUAUAUAAAUUAAUUUUUGUUUGGUAGUUAAGUUUGGCCCCAAGUAAGGGCUUGCAAUGAAAAAUGUUGACAUUGAUGGAUAUACAAUAUCUUGAAGUAGAUUACUGCGAAAGAUUGCUCAUUUGGAUUUUAAACAGUUCCCUUACGGUUGGAUCAUGAAUUUUUCUGUUAAUUGUGUUAUAUGUUUAUGGGAUUCUUUUUCAAGCAUCCAACAACUGUUCGAAAGUCCUUUCCUUUAGUAAUUCUAGUUGGUAUGCAUAGUUUCUCUGUAUCUUUUUUUAUGUAACAGAUCAUCUAGUAUUGUGAUCUUACUAGAUUUUAGACUUACUGAGCAUGAAAUAUUGGUUCACAAUUGAGUCCAAUGUUAUGACAAAGGCGGUGUAGCGGUAUCUAGAGUUCUUUACGAGUAUUGGUGUGCAUCGUAAAACAAAUGAAACUCAAUUGCUAUGGCUUAGUUUAAGGGAUUAAGGGUUGUGGAAGCCAGUCAUAUUCUCUAAUUUUCAUGCAUGGUGGUCCUCUUGGCCUUUCAUUUUGUACACCCGCACCACCAUCUUCUUGACUUACUUUUAUGUUCCCUUGUCUCAAUUGUAAUUGCCCUGUUUUAUCAAUUUACUGAGAUUGGAUGUUAUAGAAGAGAGAGAACAAGUUUUAGGACCAUAGUAGUAGUUAGGGCUGUAAAUAGUAACUGAAAAAUUCGUAUUAGUCUGCAUUUGUAUUCGAAAAAAAAUUCGUAUUUGAAAAAAAUGGAUAUAUAUGUAUUCGAUUUAAAGGUAUUCACAAAUAAACGGAUACGAAUACGGAUAUAGGCGUAUUCGUAUUUGUUUAACAUACGACCAUAAAUAUAUCCAUUAGAUAGCACAUAUCUAGAUUCGG
Molecule: long non-coding RNA, 1729 nt
Filed under: Panax ginseng (ginseng)
Lineage: Eukaryota; Viridiplantae; Streptophyta; Magnoliopsida; Apiales; Araliaceae
Description: long non-coding RNA (PGIN_LNC017223)
Source: RNAcentral